CAGAACGAACGCUGGCGGCGCGUUUAAGCAUGCAGGCGAGCGGCAAGGGCCUUCGGGCCCUAGAGCGGCGGACGGGUGAGUAACACGUGGACAAUCUGCCCCCCGGCCCGGGAUAGCCCAGGGAAACCUGGAUUAAUACCGGAUGAGACGGGACCCGCGAUGGCGGGACCCGGGAAAGGCGCUGCGGCGCCGCCGGGGGAUGAGUCUGCGUCCCAUUAGCUAGACGGCGGGGUAACGGCCCACCGUGGCGACGAUGGGUAGCCGGCCUGAGAGGGUGGACGGCCACAUUGGAACUGAGACACGGUCCAGACUCCUACGGGAGGCAGCAGCUAAGAAUCCUUCCGCAAUGGGCGAAAGCCUGACGGAGCGACGCCCGCGUGAACGAAGAAGGCCGUGAGGUUGUAAAGUUCUUUUCGGGGAGGGGAACAACCGUGGCAGGGAAUGGCCGCGGGAUGACGUGAAUCCCGGAAUAACGCCCCGGCUAACUACGUGCCAGCAGCAGC
Molecule: ribosomal RNA, 503 nt
Filed under: uncultured bacterium
Lineage: Bacteria
Description: bacterial SSU rRNA
Rfam family: Bacterial small subunit ribosomal RNA
Source: RNAcentral